RNAcentral lists this ribosomal RNA (352 nucleotides) under uncultured fungus. RNAcentral's name for it is "bacterial SSU rRNA". It matches the Rfam family "Eukaryotic small subunit ribosomal RNA", at positions 1326 to 1698 of the family's 1831-position model. Lineage: Eukaryota; Fungi. The record is from RNAcentral.
CGAUAACGAACGAGACCUUAACCUGCUAAAUAGCUAGGCCUAACAUUGUUAGGUCGCCAGCUUCUUAGAGGGACUAUCGGUGUUUAACCGAUGGAAGUUUGAGGCAAUAACAGGUCUGUGAUGCCCUUAGAUGUUCUGGGCCGCACGCGCGCUACACUGACGAAGCCAGCGAGUAUAUAACCUGUCUCGAUAGGGAUGGGUAAUCUUCUGAAACUUCGUCGUGAUGGGGAUAGAUCUUUGUAAUUAUCGAUCUUCAACGAGGAAUUCCUAGUAAGUGCGAUUCAUCAGAUCGCGCUGAUUACGUCCCUGCCCUUUGUACACACCGCCCGUCGCUACUACCGAUUGAAUGGCU